UACGUAGGGACCGAGCGUUGUCCGGAAUCAUUGGGCGUAAAGAGCGUGUAGGCGGCUUCGUCAGUCCGUUGUGAAAGUCCAGGGCUCAACCCUGGAAUGCCGAUGGAUACUGCGGAGCUAGAGUACGGAAGAGGCGAGUGGAAUUCCUGGUGUAGCGGUGAAAUGCGCAGAUAUCAGGAGGAACACCUAUGGCGAAGGCAGCUCGCUGGGACGUUACUGACGCUGAGACGCGAAAGCGUGGGGAGCAAACAGG
This 253-nucleotide ribosomal RNA is filed under the name uncultured bacterium. RNAcentral's name for it is "partial 16S ribosomal RNA". It matches the Rfam family "Bacterial small subunit ribosomal RNA", at positions 524 to 776 of the family's 1533-position model. The record is from RNAcentral.